RNAcentral lists this long non-coding RNA (1075 nucleotides) under Musa acuminata (dwarf banana). RNAcentral's name for it is "long non-coding RNA (MACU_LNC006467)". The record is from RNAcentral. Lineage: Eukaryota; Viridiplantae; Streptophyta; Magnoliopsida; Zingiberales; Musaceae.
CAUAAUAAACCGAUAAAUAAACAAAAGAACCCUUUUACGUACAGAAUCUUAUCGUACGAAUCACAUCAUCACACUAUGAAACCCGUCUAUUUUACCCCAUAAUUCCCCGUGUCACAUGCGAAGACAAAGCAAGGCCCCCAGAUCUUUCAUACGCCAGGAGUACUGCCCCAGCAUCUGAAAGGAUGGCUUCCUUUCCCAAAAAGAUGGGGCCGUUUGAUAAACCAGUAGUCUCACAAAGAACGGGCAAAUUCAACUUCAACUUGGAGUCAGAUACUAAUAUGGACACAAUUCGAGUCUGAUGACUCGCUGACUGAUCCAUCCAUCAUACAACAGCUUCAACUUCAACAGCGUUCACUGCACCAGAGCAAGUUUCACACCGAAUUUUCGCAUCAGUAGAAAUUUUGUUCCCUUGAUGCUGAAUUCCAAGACCAACCGUAAAGAAAAAUAUAAAAGCUCAAAUGCUUAGUAACAUUUAUACAAUGUAGAAAUCAAAGAAUCAGUCUAAUAAAGGACUCCAAUAACUGCAUAAAUCAUGUGUUUGCUCAUAGAAAAUAGCUCAAUCUAGAGAUGAAGUUCCAAAGCAAACAUAGUGUCAAACUCCGAAGGGAAGAGGUUCAUCGGUAUUAUGCAGCAUAUAUGGUCAGUGGGUCAGUUGUCCGACAGAGAAGACAUCGGUUUCAGGGCACUACUUCAACCAUGAUAAUACCAUCUUCAGUCCAUUUUGUUGUCAUAUUAUCAUUCUUUUCUCCGAGGUUCGCUGAAUUCGUAUAUUCUCUGAUGUAAUUUGCAUAGUUGUUGACUGCAGAAAUGAGGCGAUGUACAUGGACUGCACAUUAGGUAAAUGACAUUCCCAAGAGGUCUUAUGUAAAGACCAUCAGCACGAAGCUGUUGGACCAGAGAACUUGCGUAUAAUGAUGCAUAUCUGCACAGAAGUUGGAUCCAUCAGUUAGCUGCCAGAAAGAAAUCCAUUAAUUCCAGAAUAUCCUGUCUAUGGUGUUUUUGUUUAGAUAUUAUCAAAGUAUCACUAUAAUCAGAGCUCCAUCGAUAGGGAUAGUCAACAGGAGCAGGAAGUACU